AGUGAACGCUGGCGGUAGGCCUAACACAUGCAAGUCGAACGGCAGCACAGUAAGAGCUUGCUCUUACGGGUGGCGAGUGGCGGACGAGUGAGGAAUACAUCGGAAUCUACUUUUUCGUGGGGGAUAACGUAGGGAAACUUACGCUAAUACCGCAUACGACCUACGGGUGAAAGCAGGGGAUCUUCGGACCUUGCGCGAUUGAAUGAGCCGAUGUCGGAUUAGCUAGUUGGCGGGGUAAAGGCCCACCAAGGCGACGAUCCGUAGCUGGUCUGAGAGGAUGAUCAGCCACACUGGAACUGAGACACGGUCCAGACUCCUACGGGAGGCAGCAGUGGGGAAUAUUGGACAAUAGGCGCAAGCCUGAUCCAGCCAUACCGAGUGGGUGAAGAAGGCCUUCGGGUUGUAAAGCCCUUUUGUUGGGAAAGAAAAGCAGCAGGUUAAUACCCCGCUGUUCUGACGGUACCCAAAGAAUAAGCACCGGCUAACUUCGUG
RNAcentral lists this ribosomal RNA (492 nucleotides) under uncultured bacterium. Its description in RNAcentral is "partial 16S ribosomal RNA". It matches the Rfam family "Bacterial small subunit ribosomal RNA", at positions 29 to 507 of the family's 1533-position model. The record is from RNAcentral.